RNAcentral lists this ribosomal RNA (1448 nucleotides) under metagenome. RNAcentral describes it as "bacterial LSU rRNA". It matches the Rfam family "Bacterial large subunit ribosomal RNA", at positions 1507 to 2925 of the family's 2925-position model. The record is from RNAcentral.
CCUGUUUAAGCAUGUAGGAGGAGUUGCCAGGCAAAUCCGGCAGCUCUUAACUCCGAGGUGUGAUGACGAGGCUCCACGCGAGCCGAAGUGAAUAACGCCCCGCUUCCAGGAAAAGCCUCUAAGCUUCAGAUCACAUUGGACCGUACCGUAAACCGACACUGGUGGGUGAGCAGAUAAUCUGCCAAGGCGCUUGAGAGAACUCGGGUUAAGGAACUCUGCAAAUUGAUACCGUAACUUCGGAAGAAGGUAUGCCUUCGACGGUGUAGGGAUUUACUCCCGAAGCUGUUGAAGGUCGCAGGUAAUCGGUGGCUGCGACUGUUUAUCAAAAACACAGGACUCUGCGAACACGCAAGUGGAAGUAUAGGGUCUGACGCCUGCCCGGUGCCGGAAGGUUAAUUGAUGGGGUUAGCCGCAAGGCGAAGCUCUUGAUCGAAGCCCCGGUAAACGGCGGCCGUAACAAUAACGGUCCUAAGGUAGCGAAAUCCCUUGUCGGGUAAGUUCCGACCUGCACGAAUGGCGUAACGCUGGCCACACUGUCUCGACCCGAGACUCAGUGAAGUUGAAAUCGCUGUGAAGAUGCGGCGUUCCCGCGGCAAGACGGAAAGACCCCGUGAACCUUCACUACAGCUUUACACUGAACUUUGAACCUUUCUGUGUAGGAUAGGUGGGAGGCUAAAACUUGGGCGCUAGCUCGAGUGGAGCCAACCUUGAAAUACCACCCUGGGAUGUUUGAAGUUCUAACCUUGGUCCGUAAUCCGGAUUGGGGACAGUGUAUGGUGGGUAGUUUGACUGGGGCGGUCUCCUCCCAAAGAGUAACGGAGGAGUGCAAUGGUACGCUCAGCGCGGUCGGUCAUCGCGCUCUAGAGUGCAAAGGCAUAAGCGUGCUUAACUGUGAGACAGACACGUCGAACAGGUACGAAAGUAGGUCUUAGUGAUCCGGUGGUUCUGUAUGGAAGGGCCAUCGCUCAACGGAUAAAAGGUACUCCGGGGAUAACAGGCUUAUUCCUCCCAAGAGUCCACAUCGACGGAGGAGUUUGGCACCUCGAUGUCGGCUCAUCACAUCCUGGGGCUGUAGCAGGUCCCAAGGGUAUGGCUGUUCGCCAUUUAAAGUGGUACGCGAGCUGGGUUCAGAACGUCGUGAGACAGUUCGGUCCCUAUCUGCCGUGGGCGUUGGAAACUUGAGGGUGAGCUGUCCUUAGUACGAGAGGACCGGGAUGGACGUAUCUCUGGUGUUCCGGUUGUCACGCCAGUGGCACUGCCGGGUAGCUAUAUACGGACGGGAUAAGCGCUGAAAGCAUCUAAGCGCGAAGCCCCCCCCAAGAUUAGGUUUCCCUGGGAACUCGAUUCCCCUAAAGGGCCGUCGGAGACUACGACGUUGAUAGGCUGGGUGUGUAAGUGCAGCAAUGCAUUGAGCUAACCAGUACUAAUUGCCCGUGAGGCUUGACCGA